GGUAAUUUCGAGGGAACCUACUCUCCUUGUUAUGGUGGUUGGUGUUCCUAAUGUUGGGAAAUCAGCUUUGAUAAAUUCUAUCCAUCAAAUAGCAUCUUCUCAUUUUCCCGUGCAGGAGAAAUUGAAGCGAGCUACAGUUGGCCCAUUGCCUGGUGUUACUCAAGAUAUUGCAGGAUACAAGAUUGCUCAUCAGCCUAGUAUAUAUGUUCUGGACACUCCAGGUGUAUUAGUGCCCAGUAUUCCAGAUAUUGAAACAGGAUUAAAGCUAGCUCUUGCAGGAUCCGUGAAAGAUUCUGUUGUAGGUG
RNAcentral lists this unclassified non-coding RNA (305 nucleotides) under Hevea brasiliensis (rubber tree). Lineage: Eukaryota; Viridiplantae; Streptophyta; Magnoliopsida; Malpighiales; Euphorbiaceae. The record is from RNAcentral.